RNAcentral lists this ribosomal RNA (475 nucleotides) under uncultured bacterium. Its description in RNAcentral is "SSU rRNA". It matches the Rfam family "Bacterial small subunit ribosomal RNA", at positions 26 to 518 of the family's 1533-position model. The record is from RNAcentral.
AGGACGAACGCUGGCGGCGUGCUUAACACAUGCAAGUCGAGCGGAAAGGCCCUUCGGGGUACUCGAGCGGCGAACGGGUGAGUAACACGUGAGUAAUCUGCCCCUAGCUCUGGGAUAGCUCCGGGAAACCGGGAUUAAUACCAGAUACGACCACUUUAGACAUCUGUUGUGGUGGAAAGAAUUUCGGCUAGGGAUGAGCUCGCGGCCUAUCAGCUUGUUGGUGAGGUAACGGCUCACCAAGGCGACGACGGGUAGCCGGCCUGAGAGGGCGACCGGCCACACUGGGACUGAGACACGGCCCAGACUCCUACGGGAGGCAGCAGUGGGGAAUAUUGCGCAAUGGGCGAAAGCCUGACGCAGCGACGCCGCGUGGGGGAUGAAGGCCUUCGGGUUGUAAACCCCGUUUCAGCAGGGACGAAGCGAAAGUGACGGUACCUGCAGAAGAAGCGCCGGCUAACUACGUGCCAGCAGCCGC